Molecule: ribosomal RNA, 301 nt
Filed under: uncultured bacterium
Lineage: Bacteria
Description: partial 16S ribosomal RNA
Rfam family: Bacterial small subunit ribosomal RNA
Source: RNAcentral
CAGUCGCCACGGGAAUACGGAGGGUGCAAGCGUUAAUCGGAAUUACUGGGCGUAAAGCGCACGCAGGCGGUUUGUUAAGUCAGAUGUGAAAUCCCCGGGCUCAACCUGGGAACUGCAUUUGAAACUGGCAAGCUAGAGUCUCGUAGAGGGGGGUAGAAUUCCAGGUGUAGCGGUGAAAUGCGUAGAGAUCUGGAGGAAUACCGGUGGCGAAGGCGGCCCCCUGGACGAAGACUGACGCUCAGGUGCGAAAGCGUGGGGAGCAAACAGGAUUAGAGACCCCUGUAGUCCCUGUCUCUUAUAC